Long non-coding RNA from Ixodes scapularis (black-legged tick), 1077 nucleotides. RefSeq lists it as uncharacterized. Lineage: Eukaryota; Metazoa; Arthropoda; Arachnida; Ixodida; Ixodidae. The transcript has 3 exons. The record is from RefSeq and is a predicted model, not a curated record.
CGCGCGCCCCCGUUAUUCGCUAAAACGUCGAUUCGCUCAAAUGCCGCUGUUCGCUAAAACGUCAUUCGCUCAUCUAAUAUGGACCCUAAUUAUAAUGAAACGAGUAUAAUCGCACACACAUUGUUAGCCCCCGUUCACUUCUCGCCAAAGAGCCGUCGACACGAGAACAUAUUUGAGCUUGAGGCUUCGAAGCUCGCUCUGCGUGGACCACUCUUUGCCUACAUUUGUUAUCUGGACACAUCACAAUGGCACAGCACAGUCGCAUAGCCACGGUACUACCGUUUCGAUGUUAACAGUUCACUAUCGUUACCGAUAUUACGGUCGAGGUCAUCCACUGAUCACUGCAAGACGUUGCAAGAUCGCCAUCGUCCGCCAUGAUUGCACACUAGUACGGCAUCACGGUUAUGGCUGUACGGCUUAUACCAAUUUCCAAUUUCUCCAAUCGAUGUAAUGUUUUAUAACUCUUAAAAAAAACUUAUUUUAGUACUGUCAGACAGAUUUCCACAGUUUAUUCCUACUUGAAACUUCAUGUUUAGUCGUUUACUCGUUUACGCACACUGUUGACAAGCCAAGACGCCAAGAGUGCAAGUAGCUCAAGCCAAGCAAGGUCGAAGCCAGGUUGACCACGUGACCGUAUGUCAACGGACCGUCAAGGCCUGUUUCAUCGGACCGCUCUGCCGAUCUCUCGGCGUGGAGGAAACGUAAACAAAGGAGCUGUGCGCACCUGCUUUAAACAGAAGGCAGAAAACAAUGAGCCAGCCAUCAUCGUGCAGGAAGCCGACGCCAAAUGGGCUGCUGCUGAAUCGGUCAGGCAUGCACCAGCUAGGACCAAGAAAAUGGAGCAGUGUGCCUCUUCUCAGGAGUGACUGAGGGGCUGCCACAAGGGGAGAAGGCAAGCAUGUUUCUGAUUACAAGGAUGGACAGUUGGGCUGGGCUAGUUGGUAAGAAUUCAUGUUGAGAAACGGUGCGAAAACCAGACAAAGGAAACAGAACACACAGUACCUUGUCCUGUGUGUUUUCUUAUCCGUGCAUUUUGCGCUGUUUUUCAGCAUGUUUCUGCCUUGAUUUUUCUGUUAG